AACGAACGCUGGCGGCAGGCUUAACACAUGCAAGUCGAGCGCCCCGCAAGGGGAGCGGCAGACGGGUGAGUAACGCGUGGGAACGUACCUUUUGGUUCGGAACAACUCCGGGAAACUGGAGCUAAUACCGGAUAAGCCCUAACGGGGAAAGAUUUAUCGCCGAAAGAUCGGCCCGCGUCUGAUUAGCUAGUUGGUGAGGUAACGGCUCACCAAGGCGACGAUCAGUAGCUGGUCUGAGAGGAUGAUCAGCCACACUGGGACUGAGACACGGCCCAGACUCCUACGGGAGGCAGCAGUGGGGAAUAUUGGACAAUGGGCGCAAGCCUGAUCCAGCCAUGCCGCGUGAGUGAUGAAGGCCUUAGGGUUGUAAAGCUCUUUUGUCCGGGAAGAUAAUGUCUGUACCGGAAGAAUAAGCCCCGGCUAACUUCGUG
This 431-nucleotide ribosomal RNA is filed under the name uncultured bacterium. RNAcentral's name for it is "partial 16S ribosomal RNA". It matches the Rfam family "Bacterial small subunit ribosomal RNA", at positions 29 to 507 of the family's 1533-position model. The record is from RNAcentral.